UUGUAAGUUUGGUGACAAAUUCGCAUUUCAAACAUCUUAAUCAAUGUUUUGCAGAUAUGUGACAAUAAAAUGAAAAUACGUUAUGUGAAUGCUCAGUUUCCUGGCAGCAAUCAUGACUGUCACAUAUGGAAAUUUAUUUCUCCGUUAGCACAAACCUGUCGUACAAAAAUUCCGCUAAACUUAAAAAUUUUCCGUUCCGAGUGAAUUCAGUGAAUGCAACUCUACGAACUUCGAACUUACUUUCGGAACUGUUCGAAUUGCAUGAUAGCAGUUUCGUAACUUUCCCGAAAAAACACUCUACGAUGGAUUGCUUGAUAGGGUUGACUAUAUAGUGGUUAUUUAUUAUAUGGAGAAACUAUUUAAAUACUUUUAUAAUAUAUUAGAACAACUGAUUUUUGACCUUUCAAUACCCAAUAUAAGGAUUUAAGCUUGUUAGCUCUCAAUCAUAAAAUGUUUUUAAUCAUUUUCCAUUGAAAAUAAUACUGUGAUGCAUCAAAUUACAAACCGUUUUAUCAAAAAGCUUUUAAUUUCACAAAUUUAUUUAAUUUUCAUUGUUUUACAUUUUUUAGAAGUGGUCUUGAACGAUGCAACAAAUCCCUCCGUUUACAAAUUUUUUUUGAAAAUGGGGCUAUCCAAGUAUCUACCUAGCGAUUGGCGUCUCUUCUUGGACAGUACCAAGAGAAGUUUGAAGUUCGUCUUAUUGAACAAUGGCAAUGUGUAUGCAUCAAUUCCAAUUGCGCACUCCACAACAAUUAAAGAAGAAUAUAACAACAUUGCAUUAGUGAUGAAAAAGAUAAAAUACCAAGACCACCAAUGGUUCAUUUAUGUUGAUCUUAGAAUGGUCAAUUUUCUUCUUGGACAACAGAGUGGUUAUACUAAGUACCCUUGCUUUUUGUGUCUCUGGGAUAGCAGAUCCAAGCAACAACAUUGGCGGCAAAAAUAUUGGCCUACGAGAGAAAAAAUGAUUGUUUGCGAUAAAAAUAUUGUAAACUAAGCUUUAGUUCCACGUGAAAAGAUCGUCCUACCGCUGUUGCACAUCAAAUUAGGACUCAUUAAUCAGUUUGUUAAGGCUCUGAAUCGCGUUGGGGAAUGUUUUGCAUAUAUUUGCAGUAAAAUGCCUUAUCUAAGUAGAGAUAAGAUUAUAGCAGGAGUUUUUGACGGUCCCCAAAUAAGGCAGUUUAUGAAUGACAACGAUUUUGAUAAGUCAGUGACCGAAACUGAACGAAAUGCGUGAGCAUCAUUCGGGGAAGUUUUAAAAAAUUUCUUGGGAAAUAAUAAAGCUCCAAAUUAUGUUCAAUUAGUGGAGAAUAUGCUGCAUAAGUUCAGAGACCUUGGCUGCAACAUGAGUAUUAAAAUCUAUUAUUUGCACAGUCACUUGGACCGAUUUCCCGAAAAUUUGGGUAAUUUAAGCGAAGAACAAGGAGAAAGGUUUUACCAAGAUAUCAAAAUUAUGGAGACUCGGUACCAGGGAAGGUGGGAUACACAUAUGAUAGCAGACUACUGUUGGAAUUUGCAAAGAGACUCUGAUCCGGCUGUUCAUUCCAGAUUGUCUCUUAAAAGAAGCUUUAGAUUCUGUAAUUAGAAUUAUAUAUACAUAUAUAUAUUAUAUUUUUAAUGCUUUGUGAAGUUUUUUUUAUUUUAAUAAAUCUGUGUGAAAUAGUUUUACCCCUUUUUAUUUUUUUUAUAUUCCUAUGGAAAAGUUUUACUUUUUAAAUACUUAAAAAAUUUGGGCAUUUUUUUGGCAAUAACUAUAACAGCAAAUAAAAAAAUUUUGAUAAAAAAAA
This is a long non-coding RNA of Bactrocera dorsalis (oriental fruit fly), 1784 nucleotides long. RefSeq lists it as uncharacterized. The transcript has 2 exons. The record is from RefSeq and is a predicted model, not a curated record. Lineage: Eukaryota; Metazoa; Arthropoda; Insecta; Diptera; Tephritidae.